GUAGGAGCCGGCUUGCUGGCGAUGGCGAUGGGUCAGUCGACAUGUCCAUCGGCUGAUCGAUCGCUAUCGCCAGCAAGCCGGCUCCUAC
This 88-nucleotide unclassified non-coding RNA is filed under the name Pseudomonas migulae. The record is from RNAcentral. Lineage: Bacteria; Pseudomonadati; Pseudomonadota; Gammaproteobacteria; Pseudomonadales; Pseudomonadaceae.